CUGACCCUUGAAUGAAUGAAAAAAUGGAAAAAAGUAAAACCUAUUAUUGAGGCUACAAGGCAAACCGCAAAAAGAAGAAUAGUCUGUGUGGUUUCGCUCUCAUCUUUUGUCUUCUUCGACUUCUUCUUCUUUUUUUCCAU
Caenorhabditis elegans is the source of this 140-nucleotide non-coding RNA. The record is from Ensembl. Lineage: Eukaryota; Metazoa; Nematoda; Chromadorea; Rhabditida; Rhabditidae.